Molecule: ribosomal RNA, 415 nt
Filed under: Limosilactobacillus fermentum
Lineage: Bacteria; Bacillati; Bacillota; Bacilli; Lactobacillales; Lactobacillaceae
Description: bacterial SSU rRNA
Rfam family: Bacterial small subunit ribosomal RNA
Source: RNAcentral
GAUGGUGCUUGCACCUGAUUGAUUUUGGUCGCCAACGAGUGCAACCACCAGGUGAGUAACACGUAGGUAACCUGCCCAGAAGCGGGGGACAACAUUUGGAAACAGAUGCUAAUACCGCAUAACAACGUUGUUCGCAUGAACAACACUUAAAAGAUGGCUUCUCGCUAUCACUUCUGGAUGGACCUGCGGUGCAUUAGCUUGUUGGUGGGGUAACGGCCUACCAAGGCGAUGAUGCAUAGCCGAGUUGAGAGACUGAUCAGCCACAAUGGGACUGAGACACGGCCCAUACUCCUACGGGAGGCAGCAGUAGGGAAUCUUCCACAAUGGGCGCAAGCCAGAUGGAGCAACACCGCGUGAGUGAAGAAGGGUUUCGGCUCGUAAAGCUCUGUUGUUAAAGAAGAACACGUAUGAGAGU